Molecule: non-coding RNA, 1358 nt
Organism: Pimephales promelas (fathead minnow)
Lineage: Eukaryota; Metazoa; Chordata; Actinopteri; Cypriniformes; Leuciscidae
Source: RefSeq, a predicted model, not a curated record
AGAGCAAUUUAAUGCCUUCAAGCAAAAGCAACCAGAGGAAUCGUCAAGAAAAGUAAACGCCAUUAAGACUUGCUUGAUUUGAAAGGCAUGAAGACACAACGUGAAGAGACUGUUUGUGAAUAUGCAGUAACUUGACCGCUACAGCUGGAUCAAGGAAAACACCAGCACCUUUUCUGCAAAAUGAGGUAAGUUAACGUUAUGUUUACGUUAGACUUCAUGUUUUUGUUUUAGAUGACACACACGACUUUAAACCCCAAAUAAUGAAAGAUUAAUUUACAUUUAGCAUGACUGCUAUUAUCUAAACUUCUGCCUGUAAUGUUAGUCAUUCUUUCCCUUCUCAUUUGUUCAUUUCAUAAUGUUUCUGUUGUUUUCUUAUCUAUUAACAGGACUUUUCUGCUGUAGUUUACAUCCCAAGCACCACCUGCAUGCUUCUUAUGGGUGGUGGACAUUCAGGGUUGCUGUCAUUCAAGAAGUUAUUGACCACAUCUCCUACCCUAUUGAGGCAGUAAGAUGCAAAAUACCUGAAGAAUAUGGCACUUAUCCUGGAGUUCAUAUAAAGAAAUCCUGAACGAAGGUUGAAAAGGCUGAGAUGAAGGAAACGUCCCCAUUCCUCCAAAACUGCUGAAGUUCCUGUAUGAACAACUUCGAAAAACCAGCUGGCAUCUUGGGGAGGACGACCUCGCAUCCAGUAUGCUGCUGUGGGUGCCGCAGGAUUUCGAACUCAUUCGAUCACUUGUCUCUAUGCUUUUCGAACUGUGGCGACUAAUCGUGCCUUGCUGUGGGUCAAGCCGCUGGAUCUUCAGAUCUUCUUCGAUUUGCUUAAUCCAUCCUUUUUUUGGGUGCAAUGCGCUGGAUUCUACACUGGGUUGGCCGUUUCCUCCAGAGGACUUGUGUGGUAUUCAAUUUGCAUCCAUUCUGCAUGUGUCCAAACAUUUCACUCUAUUGACUAGAAGUCUAAAGCAAUUUUUAAAAGCAGAAGCCUUAUCUUCAUUGCAUUUUGUUUGUUUCUGUAUUGUAUCGUAUUCUAUUAGUAUUGCAUUUGAAAAUGUUUUGAAUCUUGACUUUCACAGUUUAUGAAGGUUUUUUUUUUCCAUUUUUUUAAAAUAAUUUUGUGAGCUAUUUGGUACAACACCAAUAUUGUGCAAGUACCUGCUCGUUUUCUUUUUUUUUUUUUCAUUUCUCCCAUGUUUGUUUAAUGUCUUAACUUUUUCCACAAUACAAGCACUUUUUUAUGGUGCUUUGCACAUUGUUAAAUUGUGUGUGUCUGUCUGUGUAUAUCAAUUUUUACCCAUUGAAUGCGUUUUAAGAAUGUUUACAUGAAAUUUUUACAGAAAAAUAAAACAUGUUCAAUAUGUAUA